UCUCUCUCAACCAACCAUAC
RNAcentral lists this microRNA (20 nucleotides) under Physcomitrium patens. RNAcentral's name for it is "ppt-miR1029". Lineage: Eukaryota; Viridiplantae; Streptophyta; Bryopsida; Funariales; Funariaceae. The record is from miRBase by way of RNAcentral.